RNAcentral lists this ribosomal RNA (500 nucleotides) under uncultured bacterium. RNAcentral's name for it is "bacterial SSU rRNA". It matches the Rfam family "Bacterial small subunit ribosomal RNA", at positions 8 to 503 of the family's 1533-position model. The record is from RNAcentral.
AGAGUUUGAUCCUGGCUCAGAUUGAACGCUGGCGGCAUGCCUUACACAUGCAAGUCGGACGGCAGCACGGGGGCAACCCUGGUGGCGAGUGGCGAACGGGUGAGUAAUACAUCGGAACGUGUCCUGGAGUGGGGGAUAGCCCGGCGAAAGCCGGAUUAAUACCGCAUACGCUCUGUGGAGGAAAGCGGGGGAUCUUCGGACCUCGCGCUCAAGGGGCGGCCGAUGGCAGAUUAGCUAGUUGGUGGGGUAAAGGCCUACCAAGGCGACGAUCUGUAGCUGGUCUGAGAGGACGACCAGCCACACUGGGACUGAGACACGGCCCAGACUCCUACGGGAGGCAGCAGUGGGGAAUUUUGGACAAUGGGGGCAACCCUGAUCCAGCAAUGCCGCGUGUGUGAAGAAGGCCUUCGGGUUGUAAAGCACUUUUGUCCGGAAAGAAAACUUCGCUCCUAAUACGGGUGGAGGAUGACGGUACCGGAAGAAUAAGCACCGGCUAACUA